GUGUUGUAUGAAAGGAGACAAGGUUAGCACUCCGACAGCGAAGGAAGACCACCUUAGGCCUGACAACGCACAUACCCUUAAGGCAUUGCCACCUACUCUGUGGCAUCUAACCAUCAUUUUUU
This is a small nuclear RNA of Lontra canadensis (Northern American river otter), 122 nucleotides long. Lineage: Eukaryota; Metazoa; Chordata; Mammalia; Carnivora; Mustelidae. The record is from RefSeq and is a predicted model, not a curated record.